UAAGGUAGCAGCAACCAUUUCUGAUGAAGGGCAUUGUUUAUUUCAUGAUGUGUUUGAACUGGGGUGUCCUUUCGCGCACGUUCCGCCCAAUAGUGUCCCAUAUAUGCUCGAUAUGGUUCAAAUCCGGGCUACGAUUCGUCCAAGGAAGAUGAACCGAAUUCCAUUGAAACAAUGGAUCUUCCUCCACGAUGCCAAUUUUCAACUUUAGCGAGCUCUGCACUACAUUGGAUACGGAAAACUGUGUGUCUGUUCGUAAGCAAAGGUC
RNAcentral lists this long non-coding RNA (265 nucleotides) under Mytilus galloprovincialis (Mediterranean mussel). Lineage: Eukaryota; Metazoa; Mollusca; Bivalvia; Mytilida; Mytilidae. The record is from RNAcentral.